GCCCUAGUAGCUCAGCAACAGAGUCCCGGUCUUGUAAACCGGAGGUCGGAGGUUAAAGCCCUCCCUAGCGCU
This 72-nucleotide transfer RNA is filed under the name Saurida eso. RNAcentral describes it as "tRNA-Thr". It matches the Rfam family "tRNA". From Rfam's summary of the family: Transfer RNA (tRNA) molecules are approximately 80 nucleotides in length. Their secondary structure includes four short double-helical elements and three loops (D, anti-codon, and T loops). Further hydrogen bonds mediate the characteristic L-shaped molecular structure. tRNAs have two regions of fundamental functional importance: the anti-codon, which is responsible for specific mRNA codon recognition, and the 3' end, to which the tRNAs corresponding amino acid is attached (by aminoacyl-tRNA synthetases). tRNAs cope with the degeneracy of the genetic code in two manners: having more than one tRNA (with a specific anti-codon) for a particular amino acid; and 'wobble' base-pairing, i.e. permitting non-standard base-pairing at the 3rd anti-codon position. Lineage: Eukaryota; Metazoa; Chordata; Actinopteri; Aulopiformes; Synodontidae. The record is from RNAcentral.